RNAcentral lists this ribosomal RNA (459 nucleotides) under uncultured Syntrophus sp. Its description in RNAcentral is "bacterial SSU rRNA". It matches the Rfam family "Bacterial small subunit ribosomal RNA", at positions 923 to 1382 of the family's 1533-position model. The record is from RNAcentral. Lineage: Bacteria; Pseudomonadati; Thermodesulfobacteriota; Syntrophia; Syntrophales; Syntrophaceae.
GCACAAGCGGUGGAGCAUGUGGUUUAAUUCGAUGCAACGCGAAGAACCUUACCAGGUCUUGACAUCUGUAGAACCUUGUUGAAAGACAGGGGUGCCUUCGGGAGCUACAAGACAGGUGGUGCAUGGUUGUCGUCAGCUCGUGUCGUGAGAUGUUGGGUUAAGUCCCGCAACGAGCGCAACCCUUUGUCCUUAAUUGCCAUCAUUCAGUUGGGCACUUUAAAGAGACUGCCGGUGUUAAACCGGAGGAAGGUGGGGAUGACGUCAAGUCCUCAUGGCCUUUAUGCCCAGGGCUACACACGUGCUACAAUGGGUGGUACAAAGAGAUGCAAUCUCGCAAGAGCAAGCAAACCUCAAAAAGCCAUCCUCAGUUCGGAUUGGAGUCUGCAACUCGACUCCAUGAAGUCGGAAUCGCUAGUAAUCGCGGAUCAGCACGCCGCGGUCGAAUACGUUCCGGGCCUU